RNAcentral lists this transfer RNA (76 nucleotides) under Beggiatoa sp. IS2. RNAcentral's name for it is "tRNA-Lys". It matches the Rfam family "tRNA". Rfam says of the family: Transfer RNA (tRNA) molecules are approximately 80 nucleotides in length. Their secondary structure includes four short double-helical elements and three loops (D, anti-codon, and T loops). Further hydrogen bonds mediate the characteristic L-shaped molecular structure. tRNAs have two regions of fundamental functional importance: the anti-codon, which is responsible for specific mRNA codon recognition, and the 3' end, to which the tRNAs corresponding amino acid is attached (by aminoacyl-tRNA synthetases). tRNAs cope with the degeneracy of the genetic code in two manners: having more than one tRNA (with a specific anti-codon) for a particular amino acid; and 'wobble' base-pairing, i.e. permitting non-standard base-pairing at the 3rd anti-codon position. The record is from RNAcentral. Lineage: Bacteria; Pseudomonadati; Pseudomonadota; Gammaproteobacteria; Thiotrichales; Thiotrichaceae.
GGGCCGUUAGCUCAGUUGGUAGAGCAGCUGACUCUUAAUCAGCGGGUCGUAGGUUCGAGACCUACACGGCCCACAA